GAAGUUGACGGAGCGACGUUCGUGAAGGAUGAAGCCUUUGGGGUGUAAACUUCUUUUAACCGGGAGGAAGUCCGCAAGGACAGACAGUACCGGUGGAAUAAGGGGUUCCUAACUCUGUGCCAGCAGGAGCGGUAAUACAGAGACCCCGAGCGUUACCCGGAUUUAUUGGGCGUAAAGGGUUCGUAGGUGGUAUAUUAAGUUGGCGGUUAAAACUCAUCGGCUUAACCUUUGAGGUGCUGCCAAUACUGAUAAACUAAGAGGGCGUUAGAGGCUAAUGGAACCGACGGAGUAGGGGUGAAAUCCGUUGAUCUCGUCGGGAACACCAAAAGCGAAGGCAAUUAGCUGGGACGACCCUGACACUGAGGAACGAAAGCGUGGGUAGCAAAAAGGAUUAGAUACCCUUGUAGUCCACGCUGUAAAUGUUGGAUACUAGCUUUUGGCAGUGUCGACCCUGCCAGAGGCGAAGCUAACGCGUUAAGUAUCCCGCCUGGGAAGUACGGCCGCAAGGCUAAAACUCAAAGGAAUAGACGGGGACUCACACAAGCAGUGGAUCAUGUGGCUUAAUUCGACAACAAACGAAGAACCUUACCAGGACUAGAAACCUAACUGACCAUCUGAUGAAAGUCAGACUUCGC
This 635-nucleotide ribosomal RNA is filed under the name uncultured bacterium. RNAcentral describes it as "bacterial SSU rRNA". It matches the Rfam family "Bacterial small subunit ribosomal RNA", at positions 379 to 1018 of the family's 1533-position model. The record is from RNAcentral.